UCCCGGGUGGCUCAGAUGUAAAGGAUCUGCCUGCAAUGCAGGAGACCCGGGUUCAGUCCUUGGCUCAGGAA
Molecule: transfer RNA, 71 nt
Filed under: Bos taurus (domestic cattle)
Lineage: Eukaryota; Metazoa; Chordata; Mammalia; Artiodactyla; Bovidae
Also listed under: 2 other names
Rfam family: tRNA
About the family: Transfer RNA (tRNA) molecules are approximately 80 nucleotides in length. Their secondary structure includes four short double-helical elements and three loops (D, anti-codon, and T loops). Further hydrogen bonds mediate the characteristic L-shaped molecular structure. tRNAs have two regions of fundamental functional importance: the anti-codon, which is responsible for specific mRNA codon recognition, and the 3' end, to which the tRNAs corresponding amino acid is attached (by aminoacyl-tRNA synthetases). tRNAs cope with the degeneracy of the genetic code in two manners: having more than one tRNA (with a specific anti-codon) for a particular amino acid; and 'wobble' base-pairing, i.e. permitting non-standard base-pairing at the 3rd anti-codon position.
Source: Rfam by way of RNAcentral